UAGUCCACGCCGUAAACGAUGACAACUAGCUGUUGGGAGACUAUGUCUUUCAGUGGUGCAGCUAAUGCUUUAAGUUGUCCGCCUGGGGAGUACGGCCGCAAGGCUAAAACUCAAAUGAAUUGACGGGGGACCCGCACAAGCGGUGGAGCAUGUGGUUUAAUUCGAUGCAACGCGAAAAACCUUACCUACUCUUGACAUACUUGGGAGCUCUUGUAAUGAGAGUGUGCCUUAUGGAACCAAGAUACAGGUGCUGCAUGGCUGUCGUCAGCUCGUGUCGUGAGAUGUUCCGUUAAGUCGGAUAACGAGCGCAACCCUUACCCUUAUUUGCCAGCGAUUCGGUCGGGAACUAUAAGGGGACUGCCGGUGAUAAACCGGAGGAAGGUGAGGACGACGUCAAGUCAUCAUGGCCCUUACGAGUAGGGGCUACACACGUGCUACAAUGGGGGAAUACGAGACGGACGCUAAGCCGCGAGGGUGGGUGCUAAUCCUAGAAAGUUUCUCGUAGUCCGGGAUUGGGAGU
RNAcentral lists this ribosomal RNA (520 nucleotides) under uncultured bacterium. RNAcentral describes it as "bacterial SSU rRNA". It matches the Rfam family "Bacterial small subunit ribosomal RNA", at positions 791 to 1306 of the family's 1533-position model. The record is from RNAcentral.